UAUAGAUGUACCACUCUCUGUUCUCGUUUGUUGAAUCAACGAACGGCGCGCGUUUCUGGGUGGGUGAUUUUGGCUUUCGGAAUUUUCGCCGUCGCGACGGCGGAUCCGACAGAUUAUUCGGACGAAGAGUAUUCGAACUAUGAUUCGUUCGUGGACAUGAAUCCAGACGUUCAACCAGGCGCCCAAAAUCAAGGCUACAUGACUGUAAAGGAAGCCGAAGAAUACUACGAAAAAGAUUCGUAACUGUGAGUCAAGAUUGAACGAGAGCUUGGAUAUCUUGGAAAACAACGUAUGGUCUGGGCUGCGGAACGAGAUCGUCGCUGAAUUUUCGGAACAAAAACAGAAAGUUCUUAGUUCUUUUCACGUCCAGUAAAACCGACGUUUUCACGUGUGACAGCAUUUUCCAAAACAAACUAAAUGAGUUUGUGACAGACGCUGAGAAAAAAAUGAUGGACGCCGUCGAGCCUCUGCGCAAAAAAAAAUUCGUGAAAGAGAAGAUGUAUACUUGGACCUGGUAAAAACAAAAAUAUACUCGUCAAAUCAGUAAAAGAAUCAUACAAUACAAGCAAGCGAACGUUCAAACAUCAUAUUUUUUACAAGACUUGAAGCAAUACGAGAAGAACCUCGCGAGCGAAAAAAAUUUGUUAGAAGCACAUAUAAAUGUCUGCACGCCCAAAAGUAACUCCUUCACUUGCCAAUUGAAAGACGAUCUUAAAAGACAACUGAAUACAAGGACAAAGUGAUCUGUGAAAGACUGGCUCGGGCUUGUAAAUGACCUUCGCGCAGCCAUCGUUUCAACCAUGGAUUCCGUAAUCAACAAGUACGACGGUAAAUAUGUGAAGAAGCAAGUGUACGCGGCGCUGACGGAAUAUCUGUUAACUUUCGAAGCCAUCUGAUCUUUUUUUCUUAUCACAAAGUAAAUA
Long non-coding RNA from Nasonia vitripennis (jewel wasp), 923 nucleotides. RefSeq lists it as uncharacterized. The transcript is spliced from 3 exons. NCBI's taxonomy places the organism in Eukaryota, Metazoa, Arthropoda, Insecta, Hymenoptera, Pteromalidae. The record is from RefSeq and is a predicted model, not a curated record.